RNAcentral lists this ribosomal RNA (491 nucleotides) under uncultured bacterium. RNAcentral's name for it is "bacterial SSU rRNA". It matches the Rfam family "Bacterial small subunit ribosomal RNA", at positions 8 to 518 of the family's 1533-position model. The record is from RNAcentral.
AGGGUUCGAUUCUGGCUCAGGAUUAACGCUGGCGGCAUGCCUAAUACAUGCAAGUCGAAUGGAAGAGCUUGCUUUCCAUGGCGAACGGGUGAGUAACACGUAGGUAACCUACCUUAAGGACGAGGAUAACCUUUGGAAACGAAGGAUAAUACUGGAUAGGACAUUACAAAGCACAUGCUUAAAUGUUUAAAGGAGCAAUCCACCAUAAGAGGGGCCUGCGGCGCAUUAGCUAGUUGGUGAGAUAAAGGCCCACCAAGGCGAUGAUGCGUAGCUGGACUGAGAGGUUGAACAGCCACAAUGGGACUGAGAACGGCCCAUACUCCUACGGGAGGCAGCAGUAGGGAAUUUUCGGCAAUGGGCAAAAGCCUGACCGAGCCAAUGCCGCGUGAUCGAAGAAGUAUUUCGGUAUGUAAAGAUCUUUUAUCAGGGAAGAAAAACAAAUUGACUGAACCUGAUGAAUAAGCUCCGGCUAACUACGUGCCAGCCGCCGC